CAAUAGCGUAUAUUAAAGUUGUUGCGGUUAAAAAGCUCGUAGUUGGAUUUCGGGGUGGCCUGGCUGGUCCGCCGCAAGGUGAGUACUGGUCAGCCGCCCUUCCUCUCGAAAGCCCCGACUGCUCUUUACUGCAGUGGUCGGGUAGUUCGGGACGUUUACUUUGAAAAAAUUAGAGUGUUCAAGGCAGGCUAUCGCCUGAAUACAUUAGCAUGGAAUAAUGGAAGAGGACCUCGGUCCUAUUUUGUUGGUUUCUAGGGCCGAAGUAAUGAUUAAGAGGGACAGUUGGGGGCAUUCGUAUUUAAUUGUCAGAGGUGAAAUUCUUGGAUUUAUGAAAGACGAACUAGUGCGAAAGCAUUUGCCAAGGAUGUUUUCAUUGA
Molecule: ribosomal RNA, 377 nt
Filed under: uncultured eukaryote
Lineage: Eukaryota
Description: partial 18S ribosomal RNA
Rfam family: Eukaryotic small subunit ribosomal RNA
Source: RNAcentral